This is a long non-coding RNA of Bubalus bubalis (water buffalo), 564 nucleotides long. RefSeq lists it as uncharacterized. The transcript has 4 exons. Lineage: Eukaryota; Metazoa; Chordata; Mammalia; Artiodactyla; Bovidae. The record is from RefSeq and is a predicted model, not a curated record.
AGCAUUAGUGUUUUCAAAUGGCUCAAUCAACUCCUGCCAAGAUAUGCAAAAACAACUGAGGAGUGUUUUCCAAAAAUGUUUUCCCAUUUCUGCUACCAAAUUCACCUAACAGAAAUAACUCUGAAGUUCAUUCUAUGGAGAUACUUAAGGAAAAUAGAGAGGAGGCCUGUGAUGUGUCUUCACUCUUCCUCUGUGCAGCCCAACAGCUCCGACCUCAGUGUGAUCCUCCCGUACCAGGACCAAGGAAGGAUCCUUAUGUGCCGUGCAUAGAUGGGAGGAUCAAUGACGUUUUUUCUUCAACAGUAUGACAACUGCUGAAGUGACCCAGAGUGGAAUUCCUUCCUUUGUCUGAACCCCGUGAAGAACUGGAACUCUGGUACCAGCUGCGGCACCCUGAGCCCAGCUACCUCCUCAGGGAAUGCAGAUAAACUUGGUGAAUCAUCAAAUGGAAGAUGGUCUUGGAGAUCUCAGAACUCUCAACUGAUACCAGGAGUGAGGGUGAAUUUGAGAACUCACAACAUUGCACUGAGUAAUUGGUGUUCAAAUGUUACAGGUUCCACAAGG